GCCCGAACAAGGAGAGGGACCAACUUCGGCAGAAGUUGUGACAGCGUCACUGGCAGGAAUCAGCAAAUUGUCUGUGGUAUCGAAGAGAGUGAGAUUAGGUGCGGACAACGAAGAUGGCAACAACAAGUAGUAAUUCAAACAUGAACUGUAUUAUGCCCGGCUGUAGAAAGUGGCUCCAAAAAAAUCCCUUGGUAAGCUACCAUCGGCUGCCCAAGGAUCCACAAAUUUUGAAGAAGUGGCUCCAUGUCCUGAAGAGGAAGGACGUGCCAGCUCGAGCUAGCGGGAUCAGCAGCCAGCACUUUGCGGAGGAUCAGCAGCCCAUCUACCUUCGCAAUAAAGGACACUUCCGAUGCGGAAACCAGGAGUUUCCAAAUGGAAGAGUCAUAGGACUAUGUUGAAGCGCUUUGCUUGCCCCUCCCUGUUUAAGGGUUAUGGUGUAGGGGUUACCGACCGAACAUCAUCAACAUCGCUGACUUCAGAGUCUAGCAAAAGCCGGACUGAAUGAAGGUGGCGACGGGAGUCAAUGGAGCCUGAGGAUCACAUCCGGCCAUGAUUGGAAGUCCCACAGCACAAUUGGCCCAGCUUCGUCCAGGUUUGGCCGGGGUAGGCCAUCAUUAUGCCCCAAUUGUUUUCUACCAACGGGAAAGAAUGGUUAGUACAGCAUGCCAAAUUGACCCGAGUGCUCCUGUGCUGUGGCGGAGAAGAGGUCCACCGGGUCCACCGAGGUCCACCAUCACUAAAGAGCUCAAGGCCCAGCUAGACUGCGCUCACGGCCAUCAGUAUACAACCGUGUCCAGCCCCUAUCUGCCACAGAUGGAUCUGAUGGAGAGUGAGAAUGAGAUUUUUUAUUUUUAUUUUACCUUUAUUUAACCAGGUAGGCAAGUUGAGAACAAGUUCUCAUUUACAAUUGCGACCUGGCCAAGAUAAAGCAAAGCAGUUCGACAGAUAAAACGACACAGAGUUACACAUGGAGUAAAAACAAACAUACAGUCAAUAAUGCAGUAUAAACAAGUCUAUAUACAAUGUGAGCAAAUGAGGUGAGAAGGGAGGUAAAGGCAAAAAAGGCCAUGAUGGCAAAGUAAAUACAAUAUAGCAAGUAAAAUACUGGAAUGGUAGUUUUGCCAUGGAAGAAUGUGCAAAGUAGAAAUAAAAAAAUAAUGGGGUGCAAAGGAGCAAAAUAAAUUAAUUAAUUAAAAUUAAAUACAGUUGGGAAAGAGGUAGUUGUUUGGGCUAAAUUAUAGGUGGGCUAUGUACAGGUGCAGUAAUCUGUGAGCUGCUCUGACAGUUGGUGCUUAAAGCUAGUGAGGGAGAUAAGUGUUUCCAGUUUCAGAGAUUUUUGUAGUUCGUUCCAGUCAGAUGAGUGAAGACCAGAACUCACUGUAUGAAUUGAUUGAUUGCUGAGCCGUGCUGUGCUGGAUGCGGUGUAUUCACUAACUGUCUGAGUGAUGUUACAUUUUUACAGUAUCUGUAACAUAUUUUGGUGUGUAUUUAAACUGUAAUUUAACGUCAUAAAGUGGCAAUCAGCAGUAGAAACAAUAACAAAGGGUCCUCACUGCUCCUCUUUCAGGGAAAAUGCUUAGGGAUCGGGGCUGGAGAAAUGUAACCACUCUCAAAUUCAUAGAGCUAUAGAUGCAAAGACUGACCAUCCAUCCAUUAUAGUUUUAACCAUGUUUUGAGGCUGCAUUGUGUUUGUUGAUAUUUUCUUUGGUUACAAACGUUUGGAGUAUAAUGAACUUUUAUUUGGGGUUUGACAGUUGAUCAAAGCUCACCAGGAAUUUCUAAGUUAGAUUCUUCAAGAAUCCGUGGUUACAUAUCAUACUUUUAUAAGUGCAACAAAAUGGAUGUAGUAACUGCUGAUUGCCCCUUUAAGGUAUGCCACUGUUUGUCUAUUGUGCAUGAGGCAAAGACUUGCAAUCACAAGCCUUUCAUGUGUAUCCUCUUUUUUGUUUAAUUGUAAAAACACCUUAAUAAUAACCCUGUAAUUGACUAUGUAUUUUUUUGUAAUCCUGUUUCUAUGAUCUGUUUCCACUACUAUGUAGCCAGGUCGAUUUGGAUAAAGGUGUUUGCUAAAUGGUAUAUAUUAUUAAAGUCUCCUUUGACUCUGCCAA
Long non-coding RNA from Oncorhynchus kisutch (coho salmon), 2108 nucleotides. RefSeq lists it as uncharacterized. The record is from RefSeq and is a predicted model, not a curated record. The transcript has 3 exons. NCBI's taxonomy places the organism in Eukaryota, Metazoa, Chordata, Actinopteri, Salmoniformes, Salmonidae.